UUGGAGGGCAAGUCUGGUGCCAGCAGCCGCGGUAAUUCCAGCUCCAAUAGCGUAUAUUAAAGUUGUUGCAGUUAAAAAGCUCGUAGUUGAACUUCGGGGUCUACCCAUUGGUCAGGCUUAAUUGUCUGCACUGGUGAGAUGGAUCUCUACCUUCUGAGGAACUUUCAUGCCAUUUAUUUGGUGUGAUGGGAAAUCAGGACUGUUACUUUGAAAAAAUUAGAGUGUUUAAAGCAGACUAUCGUCUGAAUACAUUAGCAUGGAAUAAUGAAAUAGGACGGACUGAUUCUAUUUCGUUGGUUUCUAGGAUCACCGUAAUGAUUAAUAGGGAUAGUUGGGGGCAUUAGUAUUCAAUUGUCAGAGGUGAAAUUCUUGGAUUUAUUGAAGACUAACUACUGCGAAAGCAUUUGCCAAGGAUGUUUUCAUUAAUCAAGAACGAAAGUUAGGGGAUCGAAGACGAUCAGAUACCGUCGUAGUCUUAACCAUAAACUAUGCCGACUAGGGAUCGGACGAAGUUAAUCUUAUAAUGACGCGUUCGGCGCCUUACGGGAAAC
Molecule: ribosomal RNA, 551 nt
Filed under: uncultured Glomeromycotina
Lineage: Eukaryota; Fungi; Glomeromycota
Description: SSU rRNA
Rfam family: Eukaryotic small subunit ribosomal RNA
Source: RNAcentral